This 468-nucleotide ribosomal RNA is filed under the name uncultured bacterium. RNAcentral's name for it is "partial 16S ribosomal RNA". It matches the Rfam family "Bacterial small subunit ribosomal RNA", at positions 28 to 507 of the family's 1533-position model. The record is from RNAcentral.
GACGAACGCUGGCGGCGUGCUUAACACAUGCAAGUCGAACGGAAAGGCCCUGCUUUUGUGGGGUGCUCGAGUGGCGAACGGGUGAGUAACACGUGAGUAACCUGCCCUUGACUUUGGGAUAACUUCAGGAAACUGGGGCUAAUACCGGAUAGGAGCUCCUGCUGCAUGGUGGGGGUUGGAAAGUUUCGGCGGUUGGGGAUGGACUCGCGGCUUAUCAGCUUGUUGGUGGGGUAGUGGCUUACCAAGGCUUUGACGGGUAGCCGGCCUGGGAGGGUGACCGGCCACAUUUGGACUGAGAUACGGCCCAGACUCAUACGGGAGGCAGCAGUGGAGAAUAUUGCACAAUGAGCGGAAGCCUGAUACAGCAACGCCGCGGGCGGGAUGAAGACCUUCGGGUUGUAGAACGCUUACGCGUGUGACGAAGCGUGCGUGACGGUAAUGGGUAAAGAAGCACCGGCUAACUACGUG